This 963-nucleotide ribosomal RNA is filed under the name uncultured Ascomycota. RNAcentral's name for it is "eukaryotic LSU rRNA". It matches the Rfam family "Eukaryotic large subunit ribosomal RNA", at positions 1 to 976 of the family's 3401-position model. Lineage: Eukaryota; Fungi; Ascomycota. The record is from RNAcentral.
AUUUUGACCUCGGAUCAGGUAGGGAUACCCGCUGAACUUAAGCAUAUCAAUAAGCGGAGGAAAAGAAACCAACAGGGAUUGCCCUAGUAACGGCGAGUGAAGCGGCAACAGCUCAAAUUUGAAAUCUGGCUCUUUCAGGGUCCGAGUUGUAAUUUGUAGAGGGUGCUUUGGAGUUGACUGUGGUCUAAGUUCCUUGGAACAGGACGUCGCAGAGGGUGAGAAUCCCGUAUGUGGCCGCCAGUCUUCGCCGUGUAAAGCCCCUUCGACGAGUCGAGUUGUUUGGGAAUGCAGCUCUAAAUGGGAGGUAAAUUUCUUCUAAAGCUAAAUAUUGGCCAGAGACCGAUAGCGCACAAGUAGAGUGAUCGAAAGAUGAAAAGCACUUUGGAAAGAGAGUCAAAAAGCACGUGAAAUUGUUGAAAGGGAAGCGCUUGCAGCCAGACUUGCCUGUAGUUGCUCAUCCGGGCUUUUGCCCGGUGCACUCUUCUAUAGGCAGGCCAGCAUCAGUCCUGGCGGUCGGAUAAAUGCCUGCUGAAUGUACCUCUCCUCGGGGAGGACUUAUAGCGGUGGGCGGCAUACGACCAGCCGGGAUUGAGGUCCGCGCAUCUGCUAGGAUGCUGGCGUAAUGGCUGUAAGCGGCCCGUCUUGAAACACGGACCAAGGAGUCUAACAUCUAUGCGAGUGUUUGGGUGUCAAGCCCGAGCGCGUAAUGAAAGUGAACGGAGGUGGGAACCCCUCGGGGCGCACCAUCGACCGAUCCUGAUGUCUUCGGAUGGAUUUGAGUAAGAGCAUAGCUGUUGGGACCCGAAAGAUGGCGAACUAUGCCUGAAUAGGGUGAAGCCAGAGGAAACUCUGGUGGAGGCUCGCAGCGGUUCUGACGUGCAAAUCGAUCGUCAAAUUUGGGCAUAGGGGCGAAAGACUAAUCGAACUAUCUAGUAGCUGGUUCCUGCCCAAAGUUUCCCUCAG